AGUUUGAUCCUGGCUCAGGAUGAACGCUGGCGGCGUGCUUAACACAUGCAAGUCGAACGGACUCAUAUUGAAACCUAGUGAUGUAUGAGUUAGUGGCGGACGGGUGAGUAACGCGUGGAGAACCUGCCGUAUACUGGGGGAUAACACUUAGAAAUAGGUGCUAAUACCGCAUAAGCGCACAGCUUCGCAUGAAGCAGUGUGGAAAACAAAAAGCUAAAGCUUUUGGUGGUAUACGAUGGAUCCGCGUCUGAUUAGCUAGUUGGCGGGGUAAAGGCCCACCAAGGCGACGAUCAGUAGCCGGCCUGAGAGGGUGAACGGCCACAUUGGGACUGAGACACGGCCCAAACUCCUACGGGAGGCAGCAGUGGGGAAUAUUGCACAAUGGGGGAAACCCUGAUGCAGCGACGCCGCGUGAGUGAAGAAGUAUUUCUUUAUGUAAAGC
This 442-nucleotide ribosomal RNA is filed under the name uncultured bacterium. RNAcentral's name for it is "bacterial SSU rRNA". It matches the Rfam family "Bacterial small subunit ribosomal RNA", at positions 10 to 431 of the family's 1533-position model. The record is from RNAcentral.